GGGCACUUGGCACAGUGGUAGCGCGCCUGCUUUGCAUUUUCCCUGUAUUCAGGCAUUGCUUGCAUGAGGUCGAGGGUUCAAUCCCCUCAGUGUCCA
Molecule: non-coding RNA, 96 nt
Organism: Abortiporus biennis
Lineage: Eukaryota; Fungi; Basidiomycota; Agaricomycetes; Polyporales; Podoscyphaceae
Source: the annotation of a GenBank genome assembly